UAUUAAAAAUUUUAUCCAUUUUUAUUGUUAAAAACUGGUGUAGAUGACAAAAUAACUAAACAGUUAUACGUGUCAUGCCACAUGUAAUUCAUGUUGACGUACAAUAAUCAAUUUUUAAUGGUAAAAAUGGAUGAAAUUUUUAAAA
Non-coding RNA from Gossypium hirsutum (cotton), 145 nucleotides. The record is from Rfam. Lineage: Eukaryota; Viridiplantae; Streptophyta; Magnoliopsida; Malvales; Malvaceae.